CGACAUUCUAGAGAAGAACAACUUACCGCGUGGCCUUCUCCCAAAGGGCGUGCAGUCAUACAAUCUCAGCCCAGACGGUAAAUUUGAGGUAACCCUUCCUGGCGAGUGCGACUUCCCCGUCACCUUCGGUGGCCAAGAUUUCAAGUUUCGUUUUGCAAGCACAGUCGGCGGCGUUAUCCAAGCUGGAUCCAUCCAUGAGGUGUAUGGCGUGAGGGUGCAGAUCAAGUUUGGGUGGCUUGGGUUAAGACAAGUCGAUCGUGCUGGUGACCAGCUGACGCUCCAGGUGCAGCAGUUCACGCAAACAUUUCCAACCAGCACCUUUGCCGUGAGCCCAUCCUGCAGCUAAGGGCUACGAUCGAUCUAGUGCAGGAACGUACGGCAGACAGGAGUCAUGCGUAAACUGCGGUGACUUGUCGUUUCGGGCAUGUCUUGACUGCAUUUCAUUAUUGCUCCUUAAUUUUUGAUGCCCUAGUAUAAACAUAUUGCCUGUUCCUGAAGUGUUGUAAUUUGAUUGAUUUUGUAAUAAAAGCUGAAUUUUAUGUCUUGGACUGUGUACCAAAACUACAUGUAAAAGAUCAAUUGCCUCUUGAUUACAUGCGUGUGCUACUUCAAUGGACAUAUAUUUUUCUUAAUUACGACAUCGUCUCAUUUUAGUAUGACAUUCCUCCAGCAAAAGAACAAAACUAGCUGUUAGCUAGAAAUAUCAUUUGAAUUUGACGGAGCUAGUAGAAUGGAAGACAACAUAAUAACACAAUAUAUAUCGAGAACACUCAGCCGCACUAAUCAAUUAAAAUAAUUGCAUGCAUACCCGGCGAAAUAAUUCUUUCUUUCUCUUCAAGUCUGAGCAUAUAUAAGUUCUUGUAACUUGUUCACGUCACGGUGCUAAGAUAAAAUUUUCGUAACUGAUGGAAACAGCUUAUCAUCGUUGCAUGUGACUCCUGCAGAUGCACACUAGCAGCCAACCGGUUACUCCAAAUCUCAUGAAAUUUUAUUUGUCAAAAUCCAUUGUCAACAAUGGUUCGGAUAUUGAACAUCUGAAUUAAAAUACAAACUAUCCAUUCGAGUGUCUGAAAUCUUCAAUCGAACGAACGAAUGGAUAAUAUCCAUACUACUUUCAUCCCUAGUGGAAAGAUAUAUUAAAAUGGGGGAAUAAUAAGGACAUAUGUAUGGGUGCUUUAGAUGUUUCAAGAAUACGCAAGUUACUGAUGCUGUUUCCGAACACUGCCAGAAUCAAGCACUAUUUCCUGAAUUCUCCAAUUUUUCUUUGUUUAUCGCCUUGCCACAAAAAUCGAGCACAGAUAUUCCAACUUUUGCAGCACACCAAGGGGGCAUCAGAAACUUGUGCCGCAAAUUUUUCUUUAUAAAAAACGUAUUUUUGCAAGUAUAUGCUUACUUUCAUGCAAUGGAAUCCAAGCUUGUAUAAUACAAAAUGUAACUAAUUAAACAUAAUAUUAUUUCCAAGAAGCCAAGAACGUGUAGCUGUAACUUGAAAAUUAAUAUUUAAUUUGAAAUCGCAAAUUCCAGAACCAUAUCUUGAGAAUUUCAUGGUUACUAAUGUUGAAAAUGUCAAAUAGACUUGUACAUGAAAAAUCCAUUAUGUCAUAUCCACAAAAUCGGGACUCAAUAAUUCAAGUUAAAAUAGAGUAGCAUUGCAAAACAAACGGAAAAUCAGGCAGCAUUAUGGACGUUGCAAUAGGAACUUUAUUGACAACAAAUAGAAGGAAUUAAAAUGUAGCAUAAUUCCUUUACAUCGUGGACGUUUUGAUGGAAUGCCAUUGCCACAAAAAUAAAUGCAAUUGAAUUCUGAUUAAUUGUGACUUGCAUGGAUGCCUGGUAAUUGGUCUAUAUAACACUGACGCACACAAAGCCACAGGAACCAGAUUAACACUCGAUUAUCCCAUCAGGCUGAGCUUGAUCAUAUACUUGUGCAAGAAACAAACCCAUUCACAGGCAGUAACAAUGUCCAGUCACUUUCUCCUUAUUGUCCUCGUGGCUUCCAUCCUUCAUGUGGCAUAUGCUACAGCAGCAACAACUUCGGCGAACUUGACAGCAGAUGCGGCCGCGACGGCGUACGACAUUCUAGAGAAGAACAACUUACCGCGUGGCCUUCUCCCAAAGGGCGUGCAGUCAUACAAUCUCAGCCCAGAUGGUAAAUUUGAGGUAACCCUUCCUGGCGAGUGCGACUUCCCCGUCACCUUCGGUGGCCAAGAUUUCAAGUUUCGUUUUGCAAGCACAGUCGGCGGCGUCAUCCAAGCUGGAUCCAUCCAUGAGGUGUAUGGCGUGAGGGUGCAGAUCAAGUUUGGGUGGCUUGGGUUAAGACAAGUCGAUCGUGCUGGUGACCAGCUGACGCUCCAGGUGCAGCAGUUCACGCAAACAUUUCCAACCAGCACCUUUGCCGUGAGCCCAUCCUGCAGCUAAGGGCUACGAUCGAUCUAGUGCAGGAACGUACGGCAGACAGGAGUCAUGCGUAAACUGCGGUGACUUGUCGUUUCGGGCAUGUCUUGACUGCAUUUCAUUAUUGCUCCUUAUUUUUUGAUUCCCUAGUAUAAACAUAUUGCCUGUUCCUGAAGUGCUGUCAUUUGAUUGAUUUUGUAAUAAAAGCUGAAUUUUAUGUCUUGGACUGUGCACCAAAACUACAUGUAAAAGAUCAAUUGCAUCUUGAUUACAUGCGUGUGCUACUUCAAUGGAUAUAUAUUUUUCUUAAUUACAACAUCGUCUCAUUUUAGGAUGAUAUUUCCUCCAGCAAAAGAACAAAACUAGCUGUUAGCUAGAAAUAUCAUUUGUAUUUGACGGAGCUAGUAGAAUGGAAGACAAGAUAAUAACUUGAAAUGUCAUUUGAGCUUGCAUGAUCUUUAAAAAAGGAUAACCAAUGCACUACAGGCAAACCGGGCAAUCAAAGGAUGCACAUGCACCUAUCCAGCACUGCAAUCCCUUUGGCAAUUCUCCUAGCAGCUUUUGGGUCGGAGUCAUCAUCUACCUUUAUAAGAGACUAGACCACCGAUGGUGGUCGAUGGUGGGUGUUGUGGAUGGAGCAUGUCCCUGUUGUGGAGGUGGUAAUGGCGUAGUGCACUUCACGUCGUUCCGUCAGUGAUGUGUGGUGAGCUAAGGGACUAUGAAAAAAUAAAACAGUGGUCAGGUCACAAAACGUGAAAAAAUAAAACAGUGGUAGCGCGGUGGAGAUAUGUUAGGGCAGGUACUGGAGGUGACCGGGGUGGUGUAACGUCCGCAAGGUCUGAUAGAACCACUACCGGAAACAAUUAGAGUGUUUUUUUUUCCGCUGAGUGUAUUCCCUCGGCCCUCGGGCACUCGGCAAAGAACUUUUUGCCGAGUGCUUCACGAAAAACACUCGGCAAAAUACAAUAGUAGAGAAUUGGCCUUUAGUCCCGGUUGGUAGGGUGCAUAUCUCUCGGAUAUCCAUCCGGGAUAAACCAACCGGGACAAAAGGGGGCGGUCUUUAGUCCCGGGUCCUUUAACCGGGAGUAAAGGACCCCCUUUAGUCCCGGUUGGAUUUCCCAACCGGGACUAAAGGGGUCCCCUUUAGUCCCGGCUUUAGUCCCGGUUGGAUUUCCCAACCGGGACUAAAGGGGUCCCCUUUAGUCCCGGCUCGAUUCCAACCGGGACUAAAUGGCGCUUGCAUGGCACUGCCGUGACGCCUGAAUUUUUCAUGCAUGCAUCACGUAUACGUAUAGUAGUACCGCGGCCCUUUUAAUUUGUUAACCUUGUAGUUGAGAUUUUUUUAGAACGAAAUCAACUAGUAUUUAAACGAAUGGGAUUUGUAAUUAUACAAUUACUAUAUAUAUACACAAUCCUUAUAUACAAUUCAUAUACACAAUUCAACUAGCUUAGUACAAAUCGAUCAUAAUUAGCGCGUAUUAUAUAUACAAAUAAAUCAAAGUAUCUUCCUACGAUCUUCCCGUCGUGGUGUUGCUGAUCGGAGUGUCUAAUUGUCGUCCAUCGUAAUAAAAUUCUCCUCUUGGAUUUACCACCUCGUCCAUUAUGAAUCCAAUGAGACCUUUACAUAUUGCCGCUACUCUUUCUUCCUUCAAGAGUCCUUGUUGAAUAUUUAACAUCUAUAAUUUGGAAAUUUGUGAAUGUUACAUGAACAAAUACAUAUAAGGAGCUAGAAAAUAAUUAACUAGUAAUAUAUUUAUUUUACGUACUUUAAAGUUGUGCGGCGUCAUCUUCGGUCCCUUGGGUCCCAAAAAACUGUGCAUGUGCUCACAGAUGUAGUAGCCACAUAGAUUACUCCCGGGUUCCUGUCUUAAGCACUUCAGUGCGGAAAAAAAUAAGUUAUGAAAUAUUCGUGUUAUACAAUGUAAUAAAUGUGCAGACUGCAUACGUACCGGGAAGUCUGUGUUCCAUGUAAGAUUUUCUUUGAAUGGACCUUUGUGUGUCCUUAUGAAUUGUUUCCAUGCGCUGCGGAUUAGAAUAAUGAAUGACAUAGUGUAACAGGGAUAAAAUUUAGGAAAUAAAUUUUUGCAUAGAGAUAAAGGUCCAGAAUUAUUACAAGCCUAGCAUGUCUUGCAAUUCUUGGUAGUCCACCGGAUCUUUCCUUAACGAAUCAAAGACAGUGACGUGGCUUCUUUCAGGCUCAAUUAUAAUAAGGAUCCAGUGGAAGCUGCGUGCGUAAAAUGUUCAUGCAUAUUAGAGCUAACUAACAUGUAGAGAUAAGGAAAAAGACAUCGAAAGUAGACGGUAUACACACACUUACUUGAAGUUGUAUGGAAGUAGUAUGAAAUCCUUGAAUGUUUGUUUGUGUAGGAAAUUGUAUAUUUCCGCAAAGGUUUUUUCCGGCGCUAAUUGUAUCUGUUGUUGGUUAACUACAGAUGGAUCCAUGAAGCCUACAUGUAGGUACGCCUCUCGGCGGCAUGUCUGAAUUAGCAUCCUACAUGAAAUGGAAGAUGAAGUUAGUACGGUGACGCACGCCAAAAUUUACAUGUAGAGAUAAUAAACGGACACUUACAGAAUCCAAGCGCUGAUCAGAGAGACGUCCAGGGCAUCAUGAUGGUACACUUCGUAUAUAUCCUUGAAGUCUAGCCACAGCACUUUCUCCCCUUCACCGUGAAAAUCUAUCGGUUUUACCUUCAUGCCGAUCAUCUCCCUCGAGUUGGCGGAUGCCAUCAUGUACCAUUGAUGGAAUUCGUACAUCUUUGUUGAUAGCUUCCGUACCAUUGAAGGCUUUACUAGAGGUUUGCCUAGCUCAUAAGUCUACUUCGGCUCAGGGGGCGGUGCAGUUGGCGUCUCGACUUGCCCUAUGCAUUCAUCAAGUCCCAGACCUGUUUCUUCCAUGAACUUCAAUAUAUUUGCUUGUUGAUCCAAGGGCAUUGCUUUUACCCAUUGAGCAUCUUUUUUUGAUAAAUGGCUGAGAUCGGGGACUGGACCGCUGGAGGAUGAUUUUCCUUUCCUUUUAUCCUUUUCAUUAGCCUUUACUAGAGCCCGUUCAUAGUUUGAUAAGAGUGGUAUCCUUUUCUUGGCUCCUUCCUCCAUCCUGAUAAAAAAGUUUAAAUCUCGCCGACUUACUGGCGGUGGCUCCAUCUCCCUUGCCUUUUUUAAUUCGGCUUGUUUCUUGAACCACUCACUGGCCUCUCGUUGGAUUUCUGCCCACUGUUCUUCAUGAGACAUUGCCUCAAAGCGUUCCUUACGAGCCACUUCAGGGUCGACCUUUGUUUUCUUCUUUCUCUGUCUUUGCUUGGGAGGCGGUGCUCGUGACUUCUUUAGUGGUGCUGCAGGUUCCUUCGAGGGGGCCGCUCUUGGUGCCGGCGACGGUGAUCGGGGAGGGGUGUUGUUAUUGUCGUCGUCGCUCCCAGCACCAGGAUGUGGUGGAGAUGGAGACCUUGAUAUAGAUGGAAGAGACGGUCCUGGAGCAGGAGAUGCCGGUCUCGAGGUAUGAGGAGAAGGUCGCUGCUGGGGAUCUACGGGGAGCGGUCUUGAGGUCUGAGGAGAUGGCUCCGUGCGGGGAAUAAUGAUGUAGCGUUUCUUCCAUAGAAUGAUCCCAUGAAGCACAUCUGCCAAUGUCUUUUCCCCGUCGCCUCCCGGGAAGUCGAGCUCUAGACCUUCAUACUGGGGAUCAACUAUUUGCUCGACGCAGACACUGGCGUAGCCUGUUGGAAUGUCCAUGCCAUGACUGCUCUGCCCUGCCAGGGUUGGUAACGCACUCCCGUACGCUACCUGUACAUAUAGUAGAAGUAAACAAGUUGAACUCCGAUCUCGAGGCCUGGAUCAAUUGACAAGAUUGCAUAAAUAUUAUGUAUAAGUAUACCUUAAUAGUGAGGUUGCCGACCGGUGCAUGCAGCUCACAUGAGGUCCGUUGCGUGAUGGCAUCCACGGGGAACCGUUGCUCCUCCACGGGUAACCUGGGCGUCUGCGCAUCGGGGAUCCCUGUAGAAGCACAACUGCUCCCGAGGUGUUGAGAAGGGCUGGCGGUGUUAGGAUUCGGCAUUGCUCCAGAUUGGGCCAACUCCGCAACUGCGUCGGCCACCCGCCGAUUGAUUUCAUCCAUCAUUCUUUGUUCUAGCAUCUGCCGCCAGCUCUCCUCGAUCUGUUCCUUUCUUCGCUUCCGGCUUCUGUAAGAGGCGCUGUCGCCUCGGAAAGCGAACUUCCACGGAACCACCCCGAACCCCCGGCAACGUCCUGGGUGCUCUGGAUUACCGAGGGCCAAUGUGAGCUCAUCAUUUUCUCGGUCCACCCUCCACCUCCCAGCCUUGGAAUCUUUAAUGUUCUUCAUGAGAUGUUCGGCCUUCUCACGUAUUGUGUCAUUGAAAAUCAGCGUCCCAUCCUCUUGGCUUAGGGAGCCUCCAUGAGCGUAGUACCAGUUCUUUGAUCGUUCGGGCCAUUCAAUAGUUGCAGGUACGAUUCCCCGUUCGAUCAGAUCUUGUUCCAUCUUCCUCCACUUGGGAAUUGCUGAGCCAUACCCACCUCGCCCCAAAUGAUGGUGGUAGCCCUUCUGACUAGCAUUUGCUGUGUUGGUCGUGAUCUUUUUCACACCUUCUUCACUCCUCUUGUAUUCAACAAAUGCAUCCCAGUGGUCCCUCAACUUUGGCCACGCGUUGAAGUCUGGAGUUUUGCCCUUCUUGAUGUAGUGGGUGUCCAGCAUCUUCUUGAAUGUCUGGAAUUGAGUAGCCAUCUUCUUAAGCGUCCACGCUUUGACAUCCUUCUCGCUAUAUCCUUCGGGGAAUGUGAAAUGUCUCUUCACGUCUUCCCACAACAUAUUCUUUUCUGUCUCUGGAAGGGCGUACGGAUUAUCGCUUCUGCCCUUCCAUUCUCUGAUGCUGAUAGGCACGUUGUCCCGGACGAUUGCCCCGAUUUGACUCACGUACUUCUUUGCUACUUUCUCGGGAGCAACCGGCCUGCCCUCUUCUGUAACUUCGGUCAUGACAAGCCUCCCUUCCAUCACCUUUGUACGACCUCGGGUCUUCUGCCCUUGUGUCGAUCCGGAGGGCUAACAGUUCAAGAUUCGUUAAUUAGUACGUAGUAGUAGCGGUGGCGUGAAACAAUACAAGAAUGGUUGUAUAUACCUCGCCGGAACCUUCCGCCACGGCAAGUUGUUGCUGCGGCUGUUGCUCUUCAUUCCCAUCGGCGGACAUGUUGAGGAACAUGUCCGCCUGGGUGCCCUCUUCAUCCGUGUAUGAUAGUGGAACGUUGUCGCCACUACCAUCACCAGCGAUUAUCUGCUCCAUGAUAUACCUUGCGGUCUCAUCGUCUGCCAUUUCAACUAUUGAUGGAAACAUACAUGGAAUCAUACAUGACAGUCAUAGAAAUCGUCUUAAUACAAAUUUGUACAAAGUCCUACAAAGUCCGGAAUCAUACAUGUAUAUAAUGAAAUCAUAAAAUAACAUGAAUCGUACAAAGUCCGGAAUAUUUAUACAAAUUUCUAUGAAUUUUGAAGAAUUUCUACAAAUUUCUAUGAAUUUCUACGAAUUUCUAUGAAUUUCUACAAAUUUCUACGAAUUUCUACAAAUUUCUACGAAUUUCUAUGAAUUUCUACAAAUUUCUACAAAUUUCUACGAAUUUUGACGAAUUUCUACGAAUUUGUAUGAAUUUCUACGAAUUUCUACGAAUUUCUACGAAUUUCUACAAAUUUGUACGAAUUUCUAUGAAUUUCUACAAAUUUCUACGAAUUUCUACGAAUUUUGACGAAUUUCUACGAAUUUGUAACAAUAUCCACGUGCGGUGCCUAGGUUGUGACGGCGGCGAUCAGGACGGCGGAGGCGGGACGGCGGCGGUCAGGGCGGCGGUACGGCGGAGGCGGGGACGGUUCACCAGAACCACGGGCGGUGCCUACUAGGUCGUGAUGGGCGGCGGGACGGCGGCGAUCACGGCGGCUACUCGGCGGCGAUCACGGCGGCUACAAGGCGGCGAUCACGGCGGCUACUCGGCAGGACGGCGGCAAUCACGGCGGCUACUCGACGAUCUCUGUAUCAACUCUAACUUAACAAACUAACUAGAAAUCUAACUUAACAAACUAACUAGAAAUCUAAAAAUCUAACUUAACAAAAUUAGAAAUCUAAAAAUCUAACUUAACAAAAUUACAAAUCUAUCUAAAAAUAAAACUUAAUUUUCUAAUUAACUUAAAAAGAAAACCCUCCCGGCGCUGCCGGCCGGCGCGGCAGCGGACCUCUCACGCGCGGGGCGGCGGCCGGGGCGGCGGGACGGCGGCGGCCGGGGCGGCGACGAGGACGAAGACGACGACGGCGGGACGACGGCGGCCGAGGCGAAGACGACGACGGCGGCGUAGGCGGGACGGCGACGAGACGGCGACGAGGGGCGACGAGGAUGGAGCCGGCGACGAGGAUGUGGAGCCGGUGGCCGGAGGCGACGAGGUGGCCGGGGGCCGGGCGCGUCGACGGACGAGGAGGGGAUCGAGGCGGGCCGGUCGGGGGACGACGACGGCGCAAUGGGGGACGUCGACGGCGCAAUGGGGGACGACGACGGCGGCGGCCGGUGAGGGAGGCGGACGGGCGGCGACGGCGGAGAACACGCGGGACUUGCGAAAUUUUGGCUAAGUGUGUAACUGGCGGGGGGUAGAAGGGAGUACAGUGCCUUUUAACCCCCCCCCUUUUAUCCCGGUUCGUAAUGGGACCCGGGACAAAAGAGCCUUUUGUCCCGGGUCCCGUCACCAACCGGGAUAAAAGGGGGGGCCUUUUAUCCCGGUUGGUGACGGGACCCGGGAUAAAAGGGUGCCCCGCCAGGUGGGGCUUGGAGCGCACCCUUUUAUCCCGGGUCCCGUCACCAACCGGGAUAAAAGGCCCCCCCUUUUAUCCCGGUUGGUGACGGGACCCGGGACAAAAGGGUGCCCCCGCCAGGUGGGGCUGGGAGCGUACCCUUUUAUCCCGGGUCCCGUCACCAACCGGGAUAAAAGGGGGGGCCUUUUAUCCCGGUUGCAGUUGGCAACCGGGAUAAAAGGGGGGCCUUUUGUCCCGGUUGCUGUUAGCACCCGAGACAAAAGGUCUUUUUUCCUAUUUUUCUUCUCCCGCCUGUUUUUUUAAAAUGAAUUUUAUUUUACCUUUUCACUGCAUUUCAGGAUGAAAAACAAAACCUUCACAGAUUUUGUACAUGCAAAAAUAUAUUUAAUUAACGAGUAAAUUGACAAUAAGUAUGAAGUAAUCAUUAAUUCUAUACCAACUCAUUUAACCUGUAAAAUAUUUAUUUUACUGCAUUGCUGUGAUCAAGAAAUUAUUCAAUUAAAUUAUUUGAAUGCGCAGAAAAAUCCAUGUUAGUAUGUGGUUAACAAUGUUCAUGUUUAUCUAAAAAAUCUUCACCUAACAAAUUUAAUAACACAUGAAAUCAUACAUAGGGUAAAUUACAAAUUGUAUCAAUUAAUACACAAAGGUCAUGUACAUUUAACGCAUUACAAUACAACGUUGUAAAAUUUCUUCUUCACGAAAGUUCCUUGAUCAUGAUCGCGGCGUAAGUACGGAGCCUCUUCUUUGGAUAGCAGGAUGCUUGGAUCAACUUCAACGGCGAAUGGAGGCAUGCCAUCAAACUGAUCAUAAUCAUCUGAUUGGUCUGUUUUAUCCUCGACUCCCACGAUUUUUCUUUUACCUGGAAGAACUAUGUGGCACUUUGGCUCCCAUGUCUCUUCUGGAUUUCUCUUGGGUUUGCUGCACAUGUCCUUCACAUAGAACACCUGAUGCACAUCAUUGGCAAGUACGAAUGGGUCAUCACUGUAUCCAGUCUUGCUCAGAUCUACUAUUGUCAUUCCGUACUGAUCUUUGGUGACGGCAGUUAGCUUCACCCAAUUGCAAAGAAAUAGAGGGAUGUACAGCGGUCCGUAUUCGAGUUCCCAUAUCUCCUGUAUGAAACCAUAAUACGACUCCUUGCUAUUAUUUAUGUCCAUGGCAUCUAUGCGGACACCACUAUUCUGGUUCGUGCUUUUCUGGUCCUGGGCUCUCGUGUAAAAUGUGUAACCAUUUAUCUCAUAGCCUUGGAAUUUGACGAUUGUGGUAGCAGGUCCCCUGGCUAACCAGGCAAGCUGUGGGUGAAUCUCAGAGUUACCCAUAAGUUGUUGGCGCAACCAGGAGGGAAAAGUUUCCAUGUGAUGACGGGUAAGCCAAGCAUCGGAUUUGGUCGGGUUUUUGGAAGCUACCAUCUGCCUGUGCUGCUCGAUAUACGGAGACACAAAGGAUGACUGUUGUAGAACAGUGUAGUGUGCCUUGUCGAACAAAUCAGUAUCAUUGCUCAAACUUGAUUUUCUUCCAAGGGUGCCCAUUCCUCGGAGCCUCCCCUCGUGGCGUGAAGUUGGAACCCCAAUCGAGUCAAUUGAAUCAAUAAAAUCAACACAAAACUCGAUCACCUCCUCUAUUCCAUAUCCCUUGGCGAUGCUUCCUUCUGGACGGGCACGAUUAAGAACAUAGUUUUUUAUGACUGCCAUGAACCUCUCGAAAGGUCACAUAUUGUGCAGGUAUACAGGUCCGAGAAUACCAAUCUCUUUUACUAGGUGAGCCAGUAAGUGCGUCAUAAUAUUGAAGAAGGAUGGUGGAAAUAACAACUCAAAACUGACAAGACAUUGCACCACAUCGUUCUGUAGCUUUGAUAGCUUGGAUGGAUCGAUUGCCUUCUGCGAAAUCGCAUUGAGAAACGCGCAUAGCUUUACGAGCGGCAACCGGACAUUUUCUGGUAGAACACCUCUCAGUGCAACCGGAAGCAACUGGGUCAUCAACAUGUGGCAGUCAUGAGCCUUGAGAUUUGUAACUUCUUUUGUUUCAUAUUUAUUAUUCCCUUUAUAUUCGAGGAGUACCCAGAUGCGACCUUCAUACUAUUCAAGCAUUCAAACAUGUUAUCCUUCUCUUCCUUGCUGAGAGUGUAACUGGCAGGACGUAAGUAGUGCUGUCCAUUAUCUCUCUUUUUCGGAUGUAGGUCAUCUCGUUGCCCCAUGGCUUUCAGGUCCUGUCGUGCUUCCAAUGUAUCUUUUGAGGUUCCAUAAACACCCAUGAAGCCUAGCACGUUCACGCAAAGAUUCUUCGUCAGGUGCAUCACGUCUAUUGCGUUGCGAACCUCUAGGAUUUCCCAAUAAGGUAGCUCCCAAAAUAUGGACUUUUUCUUCCACAUGGGUGCAUGUCCGUUAUCGUCGUUCGGAACAGGUUGGCUACCAAGUCCCUUUCCGAAGACUACAUAUACAUCCUUCAUCAUCUCGAACACACGCUUUCCAUUACGGUGUGCAGGUUUUUUACGAUGGUCUGGCGUCCCUUUGAAAUGCAUCCCGCUCUUUCUCAACUGGUGGUGAGCAGGGAGAAAUCGACGAUGACCCAUAUAGACGACCUUCUUAUAGUGCUUCAAGUACAUGCUGUCUGUGUCGUCUAAACAGUGGGUGCAUGCCCGAUAUCCCUUAUUUGUCUGUCCUGAAAGGUUACUCAAUGCAGGCCAAUCGUUGAUGGUUACGAACAACAGUGCUCGUAGAUUAAAGAUCUCUUGUCUAUCCUCAUCCCACACACGUACACCUUCUUCCUUCCAGAGCUGUAAAAGGUCAUCAACCAACGGCCUUAGGUACACGUCAAUGUAGUUGCCGGGUUGUUUUGGGCCUUGGAUAAGCGCCGGCAUCAUAAUGAACUUCCGCUUCAUGCACAGCCAAGGAGAAAGGUUGAACAUACAAAGGGUCACAGGCCAAGUACUAUGACCACUACUCAACUCACCGAAUGGAUUGAAUCCAUGAGUGCUUAAACCAAACCUUAUGUUCCUUGCUUCACUUUCAAAGUCUGGGAAUGUUCUAUCAAUUGAUCUCCACUGUGCCCCAUCUGUGGGGUGUCUCAGCAUCUCAUCUUCCUUACGGUCUUCUUUGUGCCAUCGCAUCAACUUAGCAUUCGCCUUGUUCCUGAACAAGCGCUUCAAGCGUGGUAUUAUAGGGAAAUACCACAUCACCUUCGCGGGAACUCUCUUCUUGGGAGACUGUCCCUCGACAUCACCAGGAUCAUCUCGCCUGAUCUUAUACCGCAGGGCUUCGCAGACGGGACAAGCAUCCAAUUUCUCGUAUUCAUCACCACGAUAGAGGAUACAGUCAUUAGGGCAUGCGUGUAUCUUCUGAACAUCCAAUCCGAGAGGGCAAAUAAUCUGUUUAGCUUCAUAUGUUGUGGACGGUAAUUCAUUAUUCUCGGGAAGAAUCUUCUUGACAAUGUUCAACAUCCCCUGAAAUGCCUUAUCGGACACACCAUUUUUUGCCUUCCAUUGCACAAAUUCUAGUGUCGUACCUAGUUUUUUAUGGCCCUGCUGGCAACCUGGGUACAACAUUUUUUGGUGAUCAUCUAUCAUGCGCUGCAACUUUGCUGCUUCCUUCUCAGUUUCGCAAUCUCUGUAUGCAUCUCGUAUCACCUGACCAAGGUCAUCAGUAGGGUCAUUUUCUGCAAACUCAUCUUCAUCAGCCUCGCCCAUUGUAGUACCUGCAAAAGCUUGGCCUGCAACCCAGUCCGGAAUGGUGUCAUCUUCCUCCUCCUCCUCGCCAUCUUCCAUUACAACCCCUAGUUCACCGUGCUUGGUCCAAACCAAAUAGUUAGGCAUGAAACCGUAUUUAAACAAGUGGCUGUGAAUAGUCCCACAGGAAUCCUUUGAAUACUCCUUCCUAUUAUUGCAUUGGAAGCAUGGACAACAUACGAACCCAUUCUCUGGCUUGUUCGCUUUUGCCACUUCGAGAAAAUAAUGCAAGCCAUCAAUAAACGCCUUGCUCCGCCUGUCUGCAGUAUACAUCCAUUGCCAGUCCAUCUGCAUCGUAUUACGCAUGAAAAUGGAUUACACUUGACAAUGGAUUACGCGUGAAAAUCGAUUAAAGAUCCAAACAACAUGGUACAAUACAACAACAUGAAGAUCCAAAUACACAUAUUUAAAUUAAAGUCCCAAACAACAUGAUACAAUACAACAAGCCAUCCACUAGUUAUUAUCACGGAGGACUUCUUCAUGACGUUGCUGCAAAUAACGAAGCAUUGCUUUUUCCAGCGCGCUCUUUUUCUUCGGCUUAUGCUGAGGGCCAACUAUGAUUGGAACCUUGCCAUAAUAGGAACCACGAUUGCCCCCACCAUCGCCACUUCCUUCAGUAGCAGAAGCCAUCUAUGUACAAAAAUUAUUAUCUUAACACUGCAUAAGUUGUUCAACUUGAAGACCGUGAUCAUCUCGCGAGGAUGUCCUCAACUGGGCGGCACCGCACUUCGUCAUUAAAGAGGUUAGAUGCUACGGAAAAGGGGACACGGUCACGAUGUCCGUAUCCACUCUUUCUCGUAGAAUCGAACCUCCUUCUUGACAUACGUUGCUGCUCGGCGGAGAACAUCCUCGGCGAGAUGAACACGGUAUGCAAGUUCAACAAGUAGCAGAAGUCAUCUAUGUACAAAAAUUCUUUCCUUACCACUACAGAAGUUGUUGAACUUGAAGACCGUGUUCAUUUCGCGAGGAUGUCCUCAGCUGGGCGGCACCGCACUUCGUCAUGAAAGAGGUUAGAUGCUACGGAAAAGGGGACACGGUCACGAUGUCCGUAUCCACUCUUUCUCGUAGAAUCGAACCUCCUUCUUGACAUACGUUGCUACUCGGCGGAGAACAUCAUCGCAGAAAUGAACACGGUAUGCAAGUUCAACAAGUAUAUGGAUUUAAAAAACCAUAUUGAAUUUGAUAAGAUAAACCGUCUAGACAAGGUAGCAUCAUUUUUAAACCACUGAAAUAAUGCAUACUAUAUAUGACACAUCAAUCUCCCUCACAUUCUAGCUCAAAAUACCUCUCCAUUUUUCUACUUCAUCAUCACAUUGUAGCAAAUAAUCUUUCCAUCUCCAAAGCAUAAAUCAAAGCAUAACAUGAGGAUGAAGUAGCAAACCUUCGCAGCACUUGUGUUGGCUGAGUCAAAUUCCCACGAAAAUGAGGGAAAAAACUUCGGGCAGCACCUCCCUUGCUUUGGCACCACCGGAGAGUAGGUGAAGCUCAGCUCUCUGUCAAUGUGCUGGACUGGCUCGGGCUGGAGGAAGAAGAAAGUCUCUGUCUCGGGAUAUAGUGGGGGAUGAGUUUUUAUCCCGGUUAAAAACUCCAACCGAGACAAAAGGAAACACCUUUUGUCCCGGUUGGAAGUUUAGUCCCGGUUGGAUCCUCCAACCGGGAUAAAAGGGUCCCGCCACCGACGCCCCCCAGCUAGCUGUUGCAACCAGGACUAAAGGGGGGCCUUUAGUCCCGGUUGCAAUUACCAACCGGGAGUAAUGCUCCCCUCCAAUUUUCCCCACCCCGGCGCACCCCCUUUUGUCCCGGGCCAACUUUAAACCGGGACAAAAGGGGUCGGAUCGAAAGCCAAUUCUCUACUAGUGAUAAUUACACUAAGCAAACAAAGGUUGUACCGAUUGUUUUUUUUUUUUUUUUUGCACUCAGCAAAUAAAGGCUUUGCCAAGUGUUUUUUUUCACUGGACAACAAAAAAAAUUUCUGAAAAAGAAUGAGAAGAAAAAAAUUGAAAAAAUAUUUUGCCAAGUGCCUCGAUCCGGGACACUCGACAAACAAAAAAAUAUCUGCUUAGACCGAGCUCCCCACCCCUUAUCCCUUCCUCCACACCCGACCCCAGGCCCCUCCACGGCACGCCCCCUCCUCUAGCGUCCUCUCCCCUUCCUCCGCACGCACCCGCCCCCAGCGCCCCAUCCUCUUCCUCCGCACGCCCAGCGCCCCCUCCCCUUGCCGGCCGGCACCCCUCCCCCUCUUCUCCCUCUCUCUUCGCCGGUGGCAACCGUCCCCUCCUCUCCCUCUUUUCCCUGGAUCCGACGCCCCCUCGCCGAAUCUAGCGCCGCCUCCCCAGAUCUAGCGGUGGGAGGCAGCUCGGGCGUGGCCGGUGGUGGCGUGGCGUGGUGGUGGCCGGUGGUGGUGGUGUAGUGGUGGCUAGUGGUGGCCGGUAGUGGUGGUGUGGUGGUGGCCGGUGGUGUGGUGGUAGGCGGCUGUGGCGUGGUGGUGGCCGGUGGUGGUGGUGUGGUGGUGGCUAGUGGUGGCCGGUGGUGGUGGUGACUGGUGGCGGCGGCCGUGAAGCCGGGGAGUGGAGGCGAGAUGGAGGGCAUGAUGCCGGGGAGCGGAGGCUGGUGGCCACGACGCAGGGGAAGGACGGCGGCCGACGGAGACCGGCUGGUGCUGGAUUGUUUUUUUUUUUUUGAAAAAAAUGUUUGCUGAGUGCUUUUUGGGCACUCGGUAAAAGUCUUUGCCGAGUGUCCAACAAAAAACACUCGACAAAUCUAUUUGCCGUUAAAUAUUUCCCUGAGUUUCGUUGCGGAGCAGCAAACACGUUGCCAAGUGUUUUUUGGCCUGGCACUCGGCAAAGCCCUUGGCUCCCGUAGUGAACAUCCCUAAGUUACCAACAAUGACUACAUCUCGUGUGAGAUACAGGAGAUUAAUUGCUGCUUAGGAGUUCCGAAAAGACUAAAUUUGGACAGGCCAAGAAUAAUUGUAAUGGGACAACAAAAAGAGAGAAAGAAAAGGAGCAAAAGGCAUGUGACACAGCAAGGUCUUUCUCUAUCAACGUACGGUAGCUUUGAAGGAGAAAUCCAUGCACGCCACCAGCUGUAGUUGGAAGCCAUGCCCUUCCUUUUUAGGGUAUAGUAGCUACUGGUGAGUGGAAGGAGAGAUGCGUGCUUAUCAUCAGAGCUACCCGUGUGUCCUUGUCACGAAAGAACCUUGUGCUCAGACCUCAGAACAAGGAAAUGUUGAGCUCCAUCGCGGCACGACGGCACAUAUACAUGAACCAGCUUGCAUCCACGAAAUGGCCUGAGGUACAUGCUGGAUCAUGUAUCUCGAUUAUUUGGUUUUCAGAAGGGCUUUGUUUGGCGUACGACAUGAGAAACACAGGCCCCAUGAAUAAUGGAGGCUGCCAGGGGAAUCUCUCGUUAGGGAGCUCCAUGCCUCCAUCCCUAUGUUUCAAAACACAAACCUCAGAAAAUUAAUUAGCCUACGCCGGUACUUCGAGAAAUAAAACAUACUGCUGAAAUAAAAAAAGGGCUGGAACAAUUUUCAAAACAAGAAAUAAGAUUUUAAAAAUAUGUUGUAAACAUGAAGAUAUUAACCGAUAAUAUAGUUUCAAUCACGCUCUAGGUGAGCUUCAAAGUUUGAAGGGCAAGUUUUGAAGCAGCUUUCACAUUCACAUAAUUUUUAGGUCAGUUUCAUUAGUUAAAAGCAUUUUCUACGUAAUUUAAUUGCAAGAACUUUUUAUUAAUUAAUUUUUUUGUGAAGCGUUUUCUCUAACUUUUAUGCAAAACAAGAUUGCAGUUAUUGUAACAUCCAAUAUUAUUAUAAUAUGGAAUGUGAUAACGAGCAAAAUCUAACAUUCAUACAUUUUUGUUUGAAUUAUGCGGAACAUGUUUUGAAGCCUAAUUGGAUUAAAAAGCCUAGGUAUUAUUUAGGUACUCUCUCCGCUCCAAAUUUUAAGUUAUUUUGAUAUUUCUAGAUAAAUAAUUUUACUAUAUAUCUAAAUAUAAUGUAUAUUUAAAUGCAUAAUAAAAAGUUAUGUACUUAGAAAAGAAAAGGAUGACUUACAAUCCGGAAGGAAGGAGCAUUUUAGUAAAGUAUUUUCUGCAAUUAUAAAAUUAAGCAUACAAAUGCAUUAGUGAUUCGGAGUUCACCUGCUUUUCUUGGAUUUCUAGAGCCUUGACUUAAAUUUGAAUUCAUGUGGUAUUCAUAUCAUUUGUUCUAAUACCCCCGUGUAUAUUGGCAUAUGGUCAUCAUAUUCCACACCAUGUCUUUUGAUCAAUGUGCUUAUUAAUUUUUAAUUAAGGGACUUAAGAUUUUUUGCCAUGCCAUCACUCAAAGAAAGGAAAUAAGGAAUCGGAUGAAAAGAAAUAUCGAUAGAUAGCCUAGCAUGUAGGGUAUGUGUUAUCUUCUGUUCUGUCAGGGUAGUGUGCUACUCGGAAUCCCAAAAAGAUGAGAGAUACAUCAGGCAAAAGAAAAGAGAAAAGCUGGACUUGAAACUCAAGAACGCGACGUAAAUAUCAGGAAGCAGCAGGGGUAUUUUGGCCACCAACGACGCUAAUAAAAGGCACCCCGUGCCUGCACCGCUGCUGUGCUGCAUGCUCCCGAAGCCUACUCAUGAGCAAACCUUCAAAGUAGGGCAACGAUCGAUCAGCACUGCUCCACUCCACUGCUGUCCGUCUCGGCUUCUUAUCUGUGCUGGGGCGCUCCACCAAUCCUUGCCACGCCCUGCCACCAUCUGGUGAGUGCCUUCUUGUUGAUUGAUGCAUUACUGACUCGAAUGUGUGCGUAGAAGAUAUACAUCUAGGAGUUGAUGUUGAUGCUGAACUAGGGUAGAUCGGAGUUCUUCUAGGCCAAAUUUUUUACUCUUGACUUCUAGGCCUUCUUGUUCAUUGCUGAACUAGCGUGGGUCUUGGAUGUGCAGCAGUGUACGUCUUAUGGUUAGCAGAAUCUUACUGGACACUUGAAGUUCAUGAGUUAGGCUAUGAAGAAACAAAGCUAGUUUGCCUGCCCGUGGUUUUGUUCUGCCGAUAUGAGAACAAGCUUUUGAUGAGUUCAUGCCUUCAUCGCUAAGAGCUACUACUGCUAGUGCUUGGUGGCACCGUCGUGGUAGUGGGGUUGCAUUAAUUAUAUACUUACAGAAAUUCUAUCCCGUUCCCCAUGCAUGUUUUAGGUACCUUGUACUUGAACUUUUUUCCUCUUGUUAUUCUUCCUUUCCUUUGGCCUGUUUUACCUGUGUCUUGCAAGCAUCUAAUUAAGAGGGAGACAAAAACUCAUGUGUCUUCAAGAUAUCUAACACAUGGUUUUUUGUUCCUAAUUGCACAGUUAAUUUUAUUUGAAUUACAGUUGCUCUGUAUUAAAGAUAUAUUAAUUUUUAAUUUGAUUUUUAACUAGCACAUGAAUUUGACUAAUAAACUAGCUAGUAAUGGAAACAAAGACCUGAGUGAACAAGGACUUUCGUGUUCACUGUGAUGUUCACAACCCAUGGAAGAAGUAACCAUCCAUGCAUGUCAACAAUGCACGAUCUAGAAAAUUAUCAAACAUGGCUUUACCUAAAGAAGAAUCUAAUAUUACAAAGAUUUGUCCUGCAGCUGCAUGUUAGAUGGCGUUCGGAGGCAUCACUGCUGUUUUCUGGCUCCUCGUCCUCACCCAAGUUCAUGGCGGGGCUUCCCUUUCCUCUGGAACAGCAGACGGCAUGGAACGCUGGGGCUACGUGGAAGUCCGGCCAAGUAACCCACUGCACACAGUGACACAAUUGACUUACUUUUGAUGUCAUUUCUAUAACUCGCCUCUCGUUCGCCGUUUUCCAGAAGCGCACAUAUUCUGGUGGUACAUCCAGAGCCUGCAGCGGGUGCCAUCGCCCAUGAAACCAUGGCCAACUAUCCUCUGGCUUCAAGGCGGCCCAGUAUGUAUUCCUGUAUUCGACCUCUCACUGCAAAUGCAAAGCCUGAAACUCGGCUGACCUUUUCUUCUCCGGGACAAAAUUUUAGAGAUGUUUGGAAAAAUUCCACUUCAGACAAAUUAGCUUCACUCUACCAACUCCAAAAAAUUCGCAGUCAAAUACGUCUAACUUCACCAACUCUAGCUCCAGAAAAAAAAAAGGUGAAACUAGAGGUUAGAUCUACAUAUUUUGUGGAGUAUCUCAAAAGGUGCUCCAAAAACUACAGUUUCGGACCUCCUCGUGGAGUUGUUGGGUACCCACCAUACCACUUAUUACACAUAUACCGCUUCACAAAACAAAACAAGAUACGGCUGUUCUCCCGUCGCCCCCUCCCAUCCUCCCAACACCCCCUCCUCAAACUAGUGCCGCCGCCUGUGGAUUGGGCGCCAUCGGCCCCAAUCUCCAGCGAAAAUGGAUGUGGGUGCCACCUCUGCGCCCCAUGCCACUCCAGGGCUGCAGGCUGCGGGGCCUCGCAGGCGGCAGGCCCCAAUCUCUAGUGAAAAUGGCUGCAGCCGCUCCGCCUCCUUGUCAUGGAGGGGGAUGAGGUGGCGGACCUCGCUGCCGGGGCUCGCGCUCGCCCAGCAGGGGAACUCCUGCUGGGGAGGCCGCACCCCGCCGCUCCCGCAUAGGAGAGCUCGGCCGGGGGGGGCACACGCCACCAAUUCCGGCCGGGGACGCAGCUCGCCCCCGGGUGCCGUGCACCGCCGCUCUCGGUGAGGGGUAGGAGCUCGCCACAGCCUGCGCACGUGAGAGCUAGAGCUCGCCCCGUCACCUUUGAGCAAACACGCUCGGGUCGCUGAGAUGCUGCCCCUACGCUGGAUCUGAGGUAGAGGUGUGGGGGAUGGAGUGGCAUGAGGUGGAUGGAGAGAGAGGGAGUGGUGUGAGGUUAACUCCAACGCUGAGGUAGAUGAGUUCUAUGAGGAGCUGAUGCUUCCGUCACUAGCGCCGCCUAUUCGCGUUGUGUGUGCGCCGAGCCAUGUCGGUGUCAUGCAUCCGGACAGCCGCCACUACCAGGGUCAGGCCACGAUUCGCGUGCACUCUCUGGGCGCAGGCGCUGGUGGAGCCAGAGUGCCGGACGUGCCCGCUGGCGACAAGGGGCGGCGACUGGUGAUGGAGGCGGUCGUGGCAAGCAGGACGGUGCCCCGCACGGCCGCCAUCGUAGAGGGGAUGGUGUUGUACAUGCCGCCGCCGAUGCUGCAUGGGCUAGACAAGGAGGUGAAGCUAGAGUCCGCAAGGCAAGCGCAAACAAGGAAGAGAGGAGAGACUGAUACGUGGGAUCAUUUACAAAGGGUAAAAUAGACAAUUCACAAUAAGUCCUCAGGUUUCUGAAGUUGGAACACUGCAACCAGCCAAACACGUACAACAACUCCAUAUUUUUACGGAGUUGGUGGAGUAGAGCUACAAAAGGAUAGAGUUGAUGGAGUGGAGGUGUGUUUUUAGUAGAGUGUUGCCAAACACCCCCUUAAUAGUAUGGUUUGUGUGUUCUUCUGAAUCAGGGACAAUCGGGUAUAGGGCUGGGUAACUUCGCAGAGAUUGGGCCUCUUGACGUCGACCUCAACCCACGCAAUUUGACGUGGUUGCAGAAGGCCGAUCUCAUUUUUGUGGUACGUCAUGGAGACCUCGCCAUUUCUUCCUCCUCCUAUGGUUGCUAUUCCUGAGCUGAUGUAUGUGUGACGAUGAUGGCGCGCGGCAGGAGAACCCGGUCGGUGUCGGAUUCAGCUACGUGGACGACCUAAGCGCGCUGGCGAAGACCGACUUGCAGGCGGCCAAGGACUUGACUGAGCUCCUAAAGGAGCUCGCCAAGGAGAUACCCACACUACAGAGUAGCCCUCUGUUCCUAGUCGGCGAGUCCUAUGGCGGCAAGCUCGCUGCUAAGGCCGGCGUCUUGGUUGCAAGGGCCAUCCGCGCUGGCACUCUCGAGCUCACGCUUGGAGGUUAGUAAACACUGAUUCUCAUUGCUCAUGGAUCAUUCCUCUACCUGGACAUUACGAUUCGAUCUGAAUUAAUCUAUUUUCUUCCCCGGCUGGCGUUUUUCCACAGGUGUUGUGCUCGGUGAUAGCUGGAUAUCGCCGGACGAUUAUGCGGUGAGGAAAUAACUUCUUUCGAUCCAUCACAUGAAUUUUGAUAAUUCUGACGAAAUCGUUUUCUUGAUGCCUGCAGCUGUCGUAUCCCUGGCUUCUGGAGGGCGUCUCCAGGCUGGAUGACAACGCCGUGGGCAAGGGCAUCAUGUAAGCUAGCUAUUGCCGGCAGCCUAAUCGAUCGAUCUACUGAUGAUGUUAACUGAAACUGGGCUUAUCUCAGGAUGGCUGUGAAGGUGAAGCAGCAGAUGGCGGCGGGACAGUUCGUGGCAGCUUAUACCACGUGGGUUAAUUUGCUCGAUAUGAUCGACUCCAGGAGCGGCAGCGUUGUAAGUGUCGAUCACAAUCAGUGGCCACUAAGUCUUAGCAACACGUUCCUAUUACAACUGCAGAAAAGAGCAGGGUGGCUUGGCACACACUAAUGAAGGCUCCCUUAAUGACUUUGGCAGAAUAUGGAGAACUUCAUGCUUGAUACCACCGUGAGCUCGGUGUUAUCAGACUCAGCCGCACGACCAUUGUUGUCACCAGGCAACUGCCAGGCGGCUAACAAUGGUUCCAACAAGGUCAGCGACACUGUAAACGGGUUCCUCAAGCAAAAGUUUAAGAUAAUCCCCAAAGAUUUCAUGUGAGUGGUUCUCCUCUUACAUGCCACAAUCUUAGAUGAAAACAUUGUACAUUGAUCAAUCUCUUUGUCUCCCUGUUCAAAUCGUCCUCUGAUCAACUCUGUCUCUGUGCAGCUGGCAACAAGUGUCUCUGCAGGUGUUUGACGCUCUGGCCAACGACUUCAUGAAGCCAGCGAUCAAUGAGGCAAGAAAACAAAUUAUUGACUCUACUUGAUUUGCUGAAUUUUGAGUUUCAUAAUGGGGAUGAAUCUGCUGCAGGUUGAUGAGCUGCUGUCCUAUGGAGUGAACGUGACGGUGUACAACGGACAGGUGAGGGGCAAAGACAUUAUCCAACGAUUCCUCAAGAUUUUUUACUUGGACAUUUUUUAGAGAAUGUUAUGGUUUAUAGAUACCUGACAAAUUCCAUCUCUUCAACUCUUAUAUAGCGUAUAUACUCAAACUGCUAACUACUCACAUAUUUCUUUCUUUUGAAGUACGAUGUGAUCUGCUCAACACUCGGCGCAGAAGCAUGGGUGAAGAGGCUCAAGUGAGGCUUCAUCUUCACAUUUAUGCUUCUUUCAUGCAUAAUUCAGCCACAUAAUUCUCACUUGACCUGCAUUUCAGGUGGGAUGGGCUGCAUAACUUCUUGAGCCUGCCGAGGAAGCCUCUGCAUUACUGCCACCCUUACUAUCUCACUAACGGCUUUGUCCGAUCAUACAAGAACCUGCAUUUCUAUUGGAUCCUCGGAGCUGGACACACGGUAUGUCUCCUUAUUAUCCACAUGACAAUAUCUGAAGCCAAAGCUGAAGACCUUGUGCCAUUUGUUCUUCAGGUUCCUGUGGACAGGCCUUGUACUGCACUGUACAUGAUCAGCAGCAUAGUGCAGUCUCCAGCCAAUUAAGUUGGUUAGGCAAAUUAGUAUCCAUUAUUUGUGUUGCUGCACAAACCAGUAUUAGUAUACUAAUGGUACACUUCAUAUAUUAUCCUUGAAUUCCAUCCACAUGAGUUUCUCAUCUUUGCCGAAAAAAUCAAUAGGUUUAACCCAAAUAGCGAACAUGAGCCUAUCGUUGGCAGACUACUCCAUGUACUAUUGAUGGAAUUCGUACAUAUUCGUGGAGAGCUUCCGUACUAAUUCAGGCCUUGCCUACCUCAAAGGGUCAUUUAGGUACAAAUGGCACUGGAGCUAGCGGUUCAGCUUACCCUAGAACUUCAGCCAGCGACAUACAUCCAAUGACUUGGAUUUGUUGUUCUAAGGUCAUUGCUAUUAUAGUUUGAGCGUCUUUAUCUACUUGGUCCCUGAGCUGGCGGACAGUGCGACUGGAAGACAACGCUCCUCGAUAUUUUUCCUUCUGAUUAUACAUAACUAACGAACACUCAUAGUUCAAUAAUACAAUCCUCUUUACUUCUUUUGACAUGAAAAUUAAAAAAUUUAAUUUCGUUGGAUUGGCUCAAUCUCCUUUGCUUUACUUUGUUCAGCGCAUGAUUUGAAGAAUUCAUUCACCGUUACUUGCGAUAACUCCUGCAAUUCCUCAGUAAUCAUACCGGUAGCUUGUGAAUGGGUUCAGAGUUAUUUGUUUUCUUAACAGUUGUUUCGCCUUUAGCUGCCUUGACUUGGAAGGCAGUGGUCGUUGCGGGGCUUAGUCCCGACGAUGGUGAUAGGGAAGGGGUGUUGUGGUUAUCGUCGCUCGUACCACCAGGAUUCGAUGGAUAUGGAGAUGGUGAUCAAGCAAGAUGCGACAGUCCCGGUGGUGACGACAGUCCUGAAGGUGGAUGUGCUGGAGAUGAUGGUCUUGGGUUUUGAGGAGAUGGUCGCUGCGGGUAAUCUACGGGGAGCAAUGAUGCCUCCUUAGCAGCGAUGAUGGUGUUGCGUUUGCACCAUAAAAUGAUCCCGUGAAAUGCAUUGCCUAGUAUCCUUUCCCUGUAACCUCCCGGGAGGUCAAGCUCUAGGUCUUCAUAUUGACUAUCACAAAUCUGCUCUAGGUCAACACUGAAGUAGUCAAGUGGAAUCUUCAUGCCAUAACUUGUAUGCACUGACAGGAUUGGUAAAACACUCUCGUACGCCACCUAUAUAUAUAGGUCUCCGCUAUUCAGUACCCAAAGUAUAGAAUAGCUUAUUCCGUGCCCGAGGCUCGUUCCCCUCCCGGUACACACACGAGCGCAGACCAGCCGUCCGUUUUUUUUUUUUUUACGGGAGAGGGAACCCCGCAGAUCGGCGGUCGCGAAAUUGGCGGACGGGAAGGCCGCGGCCAAGCGCGCCAUGGAGACCCUCGUCGCGAACGGAUGCACCAACAUUCGUGGCGGCCGGCUUAGUAACGCCGUCGCCUGUGUCAUCCUCCUCUCGGACGGCCAGGACAACAACAGCGGCAGCGGCGGCUUCUUCCACGGCCCUCGUAGCUUCCGCGCAACCAGCCACGACGUCCUCGUGCCGCCGUCCUUCAUGCGCGCCGGUGCAAGUGUCACGACCACGACGCGGCGGCCAUGCACGGCAUUUCGGAGGUCACGGGUGGCACAUUCUCCCUCAUCGAGAACCACACGGCGAUCCAAGACGUGUUCGCGCAGUGUGUCAGUGGGCUCCUCUCCAUCACCGUACAGAGGGCGCGCGUCUCCGUCGAGUGCCUGCACCCCGGCGUGCGCCUCCGCGCGAUCAAGUCCGGCCGCUACGAGAUCCACGUCGAUGCGGACGGCCGCACCGCCACGGUGGCUGUCGGCGAGCUCUACGUCGAUGAGGAGCGGCGCUUGCUCCUAUUCCUCGACGUGCCUAGAGCCGGCGCCACCGAAUUAGCAGAGACAACAAGAGCUGGUUUCGAGACUCCGACCUGGAGGACAGCUCGCCAAGAUGGAAGAAGUGCAGGGCCAUAUUUGUUUUAGCUAACUCGCUUUAGCUAACACCAAGUGAAAUAAAAUAUAACUCUUAUUUGUUUUUUCCACGUCUUGGCACAUCUUAGCUAACACAUCUUGGCACUAGUCUUAAAAACAAGCACUUUAUAAUUUGAAUACAAAUAUUUCGUGACAGACAUGUUAUUAAAUACAACCUAUUGCUAUUUGAAUACAAUGAUUUUGUGAUUGCCAGCUCAUAUUGAAAUUAUUGUGACAUGACAUGUCCAACAUAUAAGAACCUUCACUGGGAAAAUUUUAAGUAUUCAACAGUUGAAGGUUGCAAAAUCAAAGUGCCCACGAGCAUGACAGAACAAGAUUGCAUUGUACUGGGAAGGACUCCAGGAGGGUGCUCCACAGUCCACACGUCGAAGAGGAGGAUGGCAUAGGACCUGGUAGCGAAGCCUCGGCAGGUCGACAUAUUACCCAAGAUGGAUGUAGAUAAAGAUAAGGACGAGCUUUUCUUGACUUGCUGGCAUGCUUGCUCAUAUCCUCCAUCAGGCACGAGUACUUACAUCUAAGAUGCAGCAGCACAUGUGCACCCAAAUAAAAUCUGAAAAAGAAAAGCAUAUAAAAUAAUCAAAAACUCCAUUGAGGAUUAGUCAGACUUGUGAUACUGAACAAGUAGAUUAUUUUAAAGCAUAAUGCUUAGCAGAAAGAUAUAUGUACGACUGCAUAUAAGAUGGUCCAUUUGACAUAACGAAAUUAGAAAAGUUUCGGAUAUCAGAAAGGUUUAUGAAUCAUUGUGACAUAUAGUGACAACUUGCUAACCUAAACUAAAAAUGGAGCAGACAUGCAUUUCCACAUACGAAUCUUACAGCUGAAAAUGGAGUAAGUAAAAAAUCAAUCCUACUUUAUAUUAUCCAUUGUCCAUUUUGCACUUCAACUGGUCGGAAACACAAAACAGAGCAUCAAGAACACCAGAUCAAAAAAUCCAUAAUGUUCUUCCUGGAAAGCAAACAUUAGUGCUUCUAGUUCAAAAUAAAGCUUUGUGUGCUUCUAAUAGCAUAUUUUCUGAUUAGCACCUCAAAUUAAAAAUUAGAGCAAAAUGAUCGAUCGUCUCUAAAAAUGACAGGAGCGUGGAUGUGCAUUACACCAAGGUUGCAUAUAACGAUGUCACAUGUGGAUAGAAAAGUUUCUAUGAUUGUGUAAUUGUAAAUAAUGAAAUAUAGGUGCAGAAACCUUGCUACAUUCCAAUUGAAGUGAGUGAAUCGUUGCAACUGAAAUAAACUCGCCACAAGUGGUGUCAUGUCUGACUCUAAGAAUAAAAAUUCAAUUAUAUGCAAAAAGCUUAUCCUGCAAACAUUCAGGGUAUCAUAUAGUGAUGACGAUAGAAAACAAUUAGGUGUAUAUAUAUUUUUUCUUUUGAGGAAGAAUUAGGUGUAUAUCUUUGAUACAACUUGUACAUCAAAAGUGAUACCUAAUCAGUUUCAGUUGAACUAAUCACAAAUAAAAAUCAACCAUGUCUGGAUUUCCGAUCGUAAUCUGACCAUGCACAUACAACUGGUUCAGUCCAUUUAGAUGCGAAGCUAAAAAGCCUCGACUAGAGAAAUACAUAUGAAAGGCAAUCUACCUGCAAAAUCCCUCAAACAGCAAUGUAGCUGCCACUGAAGCAAAGUAUCAACACUCUGAACUAGUAAUCAAUAAAAACUAUUAAUCCCCAAAAACAAUGGAUUCACAGGUUCCACAACCUCAGGCCAUGGCACGUCCAAUAAAAAUUUAGUACCAUGGUUAUGCAAGAUGGAUCACAUACUAAAAAAUAGGAUAUUGAUAUAAUUUGAAGAUAUACUAAUUACUAGUUUACUGGAUUAGUCUCAAAUUGUGGAUUUUUCAUCCACCGACACACGUUAGAAUCAAUCAACCACUAUGAUCAGGCAACCUGUAAGAUAAACAAGGCAUAUUGAUCAGGCAAACAAGUAUCAUGAACCACAAUGGUUAGAAGAUAAAAGCUUCUGAAUAUUUGAAAUUAUUUGCAAAGUAUAUCAAUCCAAAUAUAUUAACUCAUACAAGCUUAGGCAAUCAACCCAACCAGAUUCUUCUGGUCAUGACAGGGGGAAAAACUCAUGGCAACAACUGCUGGAUGUACAUAAACAUUAAGGAUGGGAUUGAUCAAUGCUUCUCUAUAGCACUGAACCCUGGAAUUGAGCUCAAUGAGAUGUAUAUCUUUGAUUUAACAUGUGUAAAAAAAUUGAUAAAUCCUAAUUAGUUUCAGUUGGCACUAAACGCAAAUCAAAAUCAACCACAUCUCGAUUCCACUCAUAAUCUGACCAUGCACAUACUACCAAUCCAGUCCAUUUAGAUGCAAAAGCUAGGAAGCCUCCACUACUGAAAUAGAUGUAUACAUGUAAUUUGUAUAUUACAGGGAGAUUUCAUCAGAGCAUUACAAUUGAAGUAGCUACUUAGCUAGGAUGUACACAGGUGUAAAAAACAGACUAGGCAGCACAUCUAGGUUGUAUCAAUUGCAGUAUCAUAGAACAUCAAAUUUUUAUCAAUCAGCCGAAGCCAGAGAAAUAAAGGUUUCAAACAAAAUACCUGGUCCAGCUCAAUUGACACUUGCAGGUCAUAGAAACAAGAAUCCCAUCAUCUGGGUAACAAUACAAGCUUUGGCGCACCCACCCACGGUGCACGUUAUCAAGGGAGCAAUCUAUAUUUAUGAAGCUGAUUCAAGCUAAGAAAUGAAGGAUUUGGUUGGAUUCAUAUGAGAGGACCCUGAAAUUCAUACAAUGACUAAUGGGAAGAAAUGAUAAGCGCCUUCAGUUAGGAAUCAAGCUUUUCUCAGCCUCCUUUAGCCUUCUUUCUGAUUAGUACAUCAAAUUUGGAAUUUGCGAAAAAUGAUUGGCAAUCCUAAAGACACAUGAACAGGUGCAUGGAUAUCACCUCCCCUGAACUCAUGGGAUAAAUGAAUUAUCAUCAGCACCGUGCACCAUAUAAUCUCAACUGCUGAGGGAAUUAAUCCAGCUUCUCCGUAUAGCAUAACCAGAAAAAACAGCCUUGCCAUUAACAAAUAGUUAUAUCAUACCAGAUUUUUUAUUGGUUAACAAUUAACUAUAUCCUACCAGCAUUCCCACUGUCAAAGGUGAAUUUAAUUAGAGGUAGUAGUCACAAACAAAAUCUAUAAAACAAUAUGGUUCAGAAGUCGGAAGGGGCAAGGAGUCAUAAAAAUACAAGAACAAUUUUUGUUCCUACUAGGAAGAUCUGAACUCAAUCAGGGGGGGUAUCGUACUUGACCUCUUUUAUUAAACUGUCAACUAAAAUUGAUAGUUAAGGGAAAAUCGAUAGAAUAUAAUCAGUUCAAAGUACAUGAGCAUGAGUAGAGCAUCCACAGUGUUUUGAGUACGUCAAGAUCACAAUUCCGUGCUCACAGUUGCCAUUGCCAGAGCUGUCAAGGACAAGGGAUUUAUACAAAACAGAGUACAAUACUACAAUGUAUUUCAAAUAACAAAAGUUAAUUACAGAUCAUAUUAAUCAGGAAUUAUCUCAUGUUUUUGCAAGUAUGUGCUGCGGGAAUUCGAGGACGGAGGGGGAAAUAGGAGGAACUGAGCAAUUUGGAGCAUGGGGUUGUGAUUUGUAGAGGAUACGGGCAGCUAAUUGGACAAUCUUGGUCCAUGUAAGACCUAGCUGCGACAGAGAGGAACAGGGUAAGAGAAUGAGCAGUUUAGGGAUCUCACCAAUGAAAAAACGCCCGAUGAGGAGAUCGUAGCAGGGAGCUACCGUACCUGCCAUCACUGGAUCCGCACGAGUGGACCUGCAUGGAACAACGCACGUGAACUAGGGAGCUCCGGAUGCCUGUCGAUCAGCACUGGUCUUGAUCUGGUGUACCAAUCCCUGUCGUGGCCAACCGACCGGCUUCCGGUGAAACCCUUACCAAAGGCUCCCUCCCCUCAUACUGACGGAAUCACGGAAGUACCGGAAAACAUCCUGAGAUAGGCCAACCGACACAGCCGGAGCCCGAGAUAGUAGUGGCUCUCCCGGCUCCUCCCCCAACUUGCUAUUACCGAACUGCCCAUCAAUUUGGUGAAAAUCACACCAAAAAUUGCCACCCAAAGUCGUGAGUCGCGUCGUACCUGAAGGUUGGAGGCUUGCCGGCAGCUGGGACUCGCCGUCCCUUUCCAUGGCUAGAGCGAGAGCGCCGCCAUCGAUCGACCUGGCUUGGAGCGAUAGGGGAGCAGCUGCGGCCUGUGGGAGCUGCCACAGCACGGCAUGGGGAAACGCCGCGACGAGACCAGCGCGGAGAGACGCAGCGCGGCGACGAAGGAGGCGAGGCGAUGCAGCGGGCCAAGAGCGGAGCCGUCAUAUGGAGAACCCGCCAGGCAAGUGGAUAAGGAGAGACGAGCGGCACCGUUGACGACCGGCAGUAAAAAGGUAGGAAAGUGCGUAUCUUUUCAAAAGAAAAGUUGGAAAAAAAAAGAAAAAAAUAAGAAGAAAGGAGGUAUAAAUGGAAAAUAGAAAAAGAGGUUAAUCUAUAAUUUGUAUUUCAUUAAUUUUUUCAUUCCUAUAUGAAAUCACAUUGCAAAUUGAAUGGAAAAUAAUUAAAACUCAUAUGUAUAACCAAAUCAAAUAGGGCAAGGGUAAAUUGGACAUUUGGCCUAUUUCAUCCAUUCAUGAAAAAUAAGAGGAGCCAUUUUACCAAAUAUUUUUUUCAAACGGAUUAAGAAAAAAAACUGCUCCACCAGAGAAACCAUAGCUGGAGUCGUUUCAGCUAUAGACGGAGCCCUACCAAACGAGCCCUGCAAUUAGGCACAGUGACGAUGUGCUCCUCCCUUGCAAUCGUUGAGCAACCAACCACUUUCCUUCUGACGCGUAGGUGAGAUCACACCCUACUAGAAACAUGACAUUCAUUCUUAACGUUAGUACGGACGACUUUUCAUCCGGUAUUAACACACGCGAAAUUAGUGCUGGGUAGAAAUUUUCAAUCCUCGAAGGCCUUUUAGUAUCGUGUAAUAUUAUUGCCCGGUAAUAAAAGGCCUAAACCAUUCAGUAUCGUGCAGUAACACCAGUACUCCAUGGAGUACCAUUUAGUACCAAUCAAUAACACCAUUUUAGUAGCGGGCAGUGUUAUUGCCCGGUACUUUCAAAAGAAAAGCAUAUCUAACUUAAUCACAUGUGCUGUGUGUCGGUGUUUUAACCCGGCAACCUACCAAGGGAGUACUUGAGGUAGAGUUUUGGUUGGUGGGUGUCGCCGAAAUUAAGAGCUCGAUGGUGAUGUAGGUAUACGAUUUAGACAGGUUCGGGUCGCUAGAUCGCGUAAUACCCUACGUCAUAUGUGUUGUAUACUCGUAUUGGAUUGAACUUGUUUUGAGGGGCUCCCUACCCGCCCUUAUAUAUUGGGGAAGCAAGAUUACAGGGUAGUUGUCGUAUAGGAGUACUAGUCGAAUUCGAUUAGAGAGUUCUACUCUAACUCGGAAGAGUAGUUUCCAUAUCUUCGACUAGUCUUCAGGGAUCCAUGUAAACUACGCCACCCUGUAUCGUAGUCUCCAUAUCUUGAUACGUUUUGGUGUACUUCUCCUUGGCUGGAUCCGUAUAGGUUUUCUAGUGGUCCCAUAGGUGUAUGGCCGACAAACCUUUGAGUACUUCGUAGUCAAAUGUAGCAGCCGCGAGUACUUUGCAGACGUGCUUGACUAGUUUCUAGUGCUCUUUGAGUACUUCAGUGGUAGCUAAGUCUUCGAGUACUUGUGUACUGUCAUGCGGCUAGAAGGUACUCUAGCUGACAUUUGUUUUUGGAGUAGUCUUGUCUCGAAAUCUUUAUACGGAAGUGCGAUGAAAAUCACACUUCAUAUGGAGUAGCCCCUGAGCCUUAGGUUGAAUUGAAGAAUCAGGUUGAGGAUCAAUCUGCAAUUGUUCCAUCUUCAUCUUUAUCUUGAAGAAAAAGAAAAAUUUAUCCAACAGACACGGUAUACGUAGCCUCCGAGCCGGUACACGACUAGUUCCAGGAGGUAUAAGGAUCUUAUCAACCAUGGCCGUUGAGUCUUUAUCAAGUUGGAAAGAAACUGACUUCCCGUGGAUAGGCUCGAAAAUUUUGCUGUUUGUUCGGGAAUACCGUGUUGUUGUUCCGGUAAUUUUGUCUCUGUUAUAAAAGUUGGGGGAAAGUUACCCCCCGACUCUUAAGCUUUCAUUCGCAUCUACUAUUUGCUCUAGCCAACAAACCCUAGCCCCCAGCGUUGUCGCCAUCGCGCCUUAGGUUGCCAGCGCCACCACCGUUCUGCUCUAUCAUGGCCACCUCCGCUCGUCCUCCAAACCAAAACUGAGAUGGGGAAGAAGUUUGAAGGAACCAAGAAGGGAUCCAAGGGAGAUGCCAAGAACGGAGCCUCUCGGAAGGGCAAAGAGCCCCAACUACCGCCAUCGAAGCGUGAGAAAACGAACCAGACUGCUCCGCCCAACCAGGUAAUAUCUUGGACAUGAUCGACUAUGAAAGAAGCAGAGAUCCAAGCGUUAGUUGAUGCCAAACUGCUGCAAGAGCGAGUAGUUGUGGGGUGGAGAUGUGCCGUCAACAAUCCAUGGAUGUUCGAAGAGCAUCCCCAGGAAAUGGUAAUCUUUGCCCGAUUUGUGGAAUGUGGACUCGCUCUUCCCACCUCUGAUUUCUUUCGGGGCCUGCUAGACUACUAUUCUUUGCAAUUGGUUCAUCUGAAUCCCAACAGCAUUUUGCACAUUUCCAUAUUUGUUCACUUGUGCGAAGCUUUCCUGGGGGUGGAUCCGCACUUCAAUCUUUUUCACAAGAUUUUUCAUCUGAAGCCACAACCAAGUGAAGAUGAUAUGCAAGUUAUUGGUGGUGCUGACUUCCAGAUUCGCGAAAAGUACUCGGAUCUGUACUUAAAAUACGAGCUGGUGUCAUCCCAUGGCAGUUGGAAGGAGAAGUGAUUUUAUAUUGAAGACCACGAGCCAUCUGUGCCCAAGAUAACUGGUCAUCGUCCAACGUAUAGUAGUCGGUGGCUUGAUGAACCCACCAUUAUUGGGAGUAUUCAAAUACCCGAUCUGCUAAAGAAGAUCGCUGAACGGAAGAAGCAAGAUGUGAUAGGAGUAGUCGUGGCUCGCAGUUUCCUGAAGAAACAUGUGCAGCCGUUGAAGCUUUGGUCAACUCCUGGGUAUGAGUACUCUGGAUUCGACGAUCCUUCCCGAAUGUCAUCUGAGGAUAUUUCUGAUGAAGAGGUGGAGGUUUGUCUGAGCCAAAUGUUCAGAGAGGUUGAUGAUAUGCCCGUAGUGGUCAAGGAGUUCAAGUUCAACAAACCAAACGAGCUGAAAUGAAGUAAGUCGUUAACACUUGCUACGCUUCAAGGACUCGUAAUUGCGAUUGCCUAGGGAUCCUUAAGUCGAGGAGGAGGAUGAUGAUGAUGAUGAAAUUGAGGCUUUCAGCAACUCUGAUUCUAAUACUGAAAAUGACUUUUUGAUGCAGCUGCAGGCUUCUAAGAGAGGCAAGUAGUCUUCUGACACCUCAAAACGGCCUUCAGAGGGAGAUGAUGCUGACGAGCAUAUGGCCCCGUUGCCGAAAAAGCGACGAGCAGGAGGCAACGGGGCCGGAGCAGGCGCACCGGCGCGGGAAAGCGAGGCUGGAGCAGGUGCAGGCAGCGGUGGGAUACAGUGGCUCGGCGACGGUGGGAUGCAAUGGCUCGGCGACAGCGGGAUGUGGUGGCUCAGCGACGGCGGGACAGGAGCUCAGCGGUGGCGCACGGAGGCCGGCGGCGCGGGAGACGAGGCGGGCCUCUACCUGCUGGUGCUUUUUUAUUUUUUUAGAAAACUCUUCUAUCCCAGUUGGUAUUUCCCAACCGGAAUAAAAGGGGUCUUUAGUCCCGGUUGAGUGACCCGGGACUGAAGACCCCUCCCCUUUUGUCUUAAUUGCUCUAUCCCGGAUGCUUUUUUUGGGAGAUUUGCUCCCUACCAACUAGGACUAAAAGUGAGUUCUCUACCACUGUAUCCAUUCAAGUGUCUGAAGCCUUCGGUCAAACGAACGAAUGGAUAAUAUCCAUACAACUUUCAUCCCUGGUGGAAGAUAUAUUAAAAUGGAGAAAUAAUAAGGACAUAUGUAUGGGUGCUUUAGAUGUUUCAAGAAUACGCAAGUUACUGAUACAGUUUCCUGUACACGUGCAGAAUCAAGCACUAUUUCCUGAAUUCUCCAACUUUUCUUUGUUUAUCGCCUUGCCACAAAAAUCGAGCAAAGAUAUUCCAAUUUUUGCAGCACACCAAGGGGACAUCAGAAACUUGUGCCGCAAAUUUUUCUUUAUAAACAACGUAUUUUUGCAAGUAUAUGCUUACAUUCAUGCAAUGGAAUCCAAGCUUGUAUAAUACAAAAUGUAACUAAUUAAACAUAAUAUUACUUCCAAGAAGCCAAGAAUGUGUAGCUGUACUUGAAAAUUAAUAUUUAAUUUGAAAUCGCAAAUUCCAGAACCAUAUCUUGAGAAUUUCAUGAUUACUAAUGUUGAAAAUGUCAAAUAGACUUGUACAUGAAAAAUCCAUUAUGUCAUAUCCACAAAAUCGGGACUCAAUAAUUCAAGUUAAAAUAGAGUAACAUUGCAAAACAAACAGAAAAUCAGGCAGCAUUAUGGACGUUGCAAUAGGAACUUUAUUGACUAGAAAUAAAAGGAAUUAAAAUGUAGCAUAAUUCCUUUACAUCAUGGACGUUUUGAUGGAAUGCCAUUGCCACAAAAAUAAAUGCAAUUGAAUUCUGAUUAAUUGUGACUUGCAUGGAUGCCUGGUAAUUGGUCUAUAUAACACAGACGCACACAAAGCUACAGGAACCAGAUUAACACUCGAUUAUCCCAUCAGGCUGAGCUUGAUCAUAUACUUGUGCAAGAAACAAACCCAUUCACAGGCAGUAACAAUGUCCAGCCACUUUCUCCUUAUUGUCCUCGUGGCUUCCAUCCUUCAUGUGGCAUAUGCUACAGCAGCAACAACUUCGGCGAACUUGACAGCAGAUGCGGCCGCGACGGCGUACGACAUUCUAGAGAAGAACAACUUACCACGUGGCCUUCUCCCAAAGGGCGUGCAGUCAUACAAUCUCAGCCCAGAUGGUAAAUUUGAGGUAACCCUUCCUGGCGAGUGCGACUUCCCCGUCACCUUCGGUGGCCAAGAUUUCAAGUUUCGUUUUGCAAGCACAGUCGGCGGCGUCAUCCAAGCUGGAUCCAUCCAUGAGGUGUAUGGCGUGAGGGUGCAGAUCAAGUUUGGGUGGCUUGGGUUAAGACAAGUCGAUCGUGCUGGUGACCAGCUGACGCUCCAGGUGCAGCAGUUCACGCAAACAUUUCCAACUAGCACCUUUGCCGUGAGCCCAUCCUGCAGCUAAGGGCUACGAUCGAUCUAGUGCAGGAACGUACGGCAGACAGGAGUCAUGCGUAAACUGCGGUGACUUGUCGUUUCGGGCAUGUCUUGACUGCAUUUCAUUAUUGCUCCUUAAUUUUUGAUGCCCUAGUAUAAACAUAUUGCCUGUUCCUGAAGUGCUGUAAUUUGAUUGAUUUUGUAAUAAAAGCUGAAUUUUAUGUCUUGGACUGUG
This 33856-nucleotide long non-coding RNA is filed under the name Setaria viridis. RNAcentral describes it as "long non-coding RNA (SVIR_LNC006279)". The record is from RNAcentral. Lineage: Eukaryota; Viridiplantae; Streptophyta; Magnoliopsida; Poales; Poaceae.